CUACGGGAUGCACCAGUGGGGAAUAUUGCACAAUGGAGGAAACUCUGAUGCAGCAACGCCGCGUGGAGGAUGACACUUUUCGGAGCGUAAACUCCUUUUAUAUAGGAAGAAGAUGACGGUACUAUAUGAAUAAGCGCCGGCUAACUCCGUGCCAGCAGCCGCGGUAAUACGGAGGGCGCAAGCGUUACUCGGAAUCACUGGGCGUAAAGAGCGUGUAGGCGGAUUAAAAAGUCAGAAGUGAAAUCCUAUAGCUUAACUAUAGAACUGCUUCUGAAACUCUUAAUCUAGAAUAUGGGAGAGGUAGAUGGAAUUUCUGGUGUAGGGGUAAAAUCCGUAGAGAUCAGAAGGAAUACUGAUUGCGAAGGCGAUCUACUAGAACAUUAUUGACGCUGAGACGCGAAAGCGUGGGGAGCAAACAGGAUUAGAUACCCCUGUAGUC
Molecule: ribosomal RNA, 439 nt
Filed under: uncultured bacterium
Lineage: Bacteria
Description: partial 16S ribosomal RNA
Rfam family: Bacterial small subunit ribosomal RNA
Source: RNAcentral